UGAACGCUGGCGGCGUGCCUAACACAUGCAAGUCGAACGAAGCAAUUAAGAUGAAGUUUUCGGAUGGAAUCUUGAUUGACUGAGUGGCGGACGGGUGAGUAACGCGUGGAUAACCUGCCUCACACUGGGGGAUAACAGUUAGAAAUGACUGCUAAUACCGCAUAAGCGCACAGUGCCGCAUGGCAGUGUGUGAAAAACUCCGGUGGUGUGAGAUGGAUCCGCGUCUGAUUAGCCAGUUGGCGGGGUAACGGCCCACCAAAGCGACGAUCAGUAGCCGACCUGAGAGGGUGACCGGCCACAUUGGGACUGAGACACGGCCCAAACUCCUACGGGAGGCAGCAGUGGGGAAUAUUGCACAAUGGGCGAAAGCCUGAUGCAGCGACGCCGCGUGAGUGAAGAAGUAUUUCGGUAUGUAAAGCUCUAUCAGCAGGGAAGAAAAUGACGGUACCUGACUAAGAAGCCCCGGCUAACUACGUGCCAGCAGCCGUGGUAAUACGUAGGGGGCAAGCGUUAUCCGGAUUUACUGGGUGUAAAGGGAGCGUAGACGGCGAAGCAAGUCUGAAGUGAAAACCCAGGGCUCAACCCUGGGACUGCUUUGGAAACUGUUUUGCUAGAGUGUCGGAGAGGUAAGUGGAAUUCCUAGUGUAGCGGUGAAAUGCGUAGAUAUUAGGAGGAACACCAGUGGCGAAGGCGGCUUACUGGACGAUAACUGACGUUGAGGCUCGAAAGCGUGGGGAGCAAACAGGAUUAGAUACCCUGGUAGUCCACGCCGUAAACGAUGAAUGCUAGGUGUGGGGGGGCAAAGCCCUUCGGUGCCGCCGCAAACGCAGUAAGCAUUCCACCUGGGGAGUACGUUCGCAAGAAUGAAACUCAAAGGAAUUGACGGGGACCCGCACAAGCGGUGGAGCAUGCGGUUUAAUUCGAAGCAACGCGAAGAACCUUACCAAGUCUUGACAUCCCCCUGACGGGCCGGUAACGCGGCCUUUCCUUCGGGACAGGGGAGACAGGUGGUGCAUGGUUGUCGUCAGCUCGUGUCGUGAGAUGUUGGGUUAAGUCCCGCAACGAGCGCAACCCUUAUCCUUAGUAGCCAGCACGUGAAGGUGGGCACUCUAGGGAGACUGCCAGGGAUAACCUGGAGGAAGGUGGGGAUGACGUCAAAUCAUCAUGCCCCUUAUGAUUUGGGCUACACACGUGCUACAAUGGCGUAAACAAAGGGAAGCGAGACAGUGAUGUGGAGCAAAUCCCAAAAAUAACGUCUCAGUUCGGAUUGUAGUCUGCAACUCGACUACAUGAAGCUGGAAUCGCUAGUAAUCGCGAAUCAGAAUGUCGCGGUGAAUACGUUCCCGGGUCUUGUACACACCGCCCGUCACACCAUGGGAGUCAGUAACGCCCGAAGUCAGUGACCCAACCGAAAGGAGGGAGCUGCCGAAGGUGGGACCGAUAACUGGGGU
This 1451-nucleotide ribosomal RNA is filed under the name uncultured organism. Its description in RNAcentral is "SSU rRNA". It matches the Rfam family "Bacterial small subunit ribosomal RNA". The record is from RNAcentral.